GGUUAAAAAGCUCGUAGUUGGACUUGUACGAAGUUCGUUGGUCCGCCCUUUGGGUGUGUACUUUACGGUGUCCGUCGUCUCUCUGGAGAACGUUGCCAUGCUCACGCGAGGUGCGGUAUCCGGAGCAUUUACUUUGAGGAAAUUAGAGUGUUCUCGGCAGGCAUUUGCCUUGAAUAUGUUAGCAUGGAAUAAUGCGAAAAGGCCUCGGUUUUUCUUGUUGGUUUCUAACCCCGAGGUGAUGAUUAAUAUGAGCUGUUGGGGGCAUCUGUAUUUAACUGUCAGAGGUGAAAUUCUUGGAUUUGUUAAGGACAGACUAGUGCGAAAGCAUUUGCCAAAGAUGUUUUUCUUGAUCAAGAACGAAAGUUGGGGGAUCGAAGGCGAUCAGAUACCGCCGUAGUCUCACUUACUAUAAACUAUGUCGCCUAGAGAUUGGCCGCAGUCAUCCUAUUGACGUGGCCAGCACCUUAUGAGAAAUCAAAGUUUUUGGGUUCCGGGGGGAGUAUGGUCGCAAGUCUGAAACUUAAAGGAAUUGACGGAAGGGCACCACCAGGAGUGGAGCCUGCGGCUUAAUUUGACU
This 577-nucleotide ribosomal RNA is filed under the name uncultured marine eukaryote. RNAcentral's name for it is "SSU rRNA". It matches the Rfam family "Eukaryotic small subunit ribosomal RNA", at positions 617 to 1200 of the family's 1831-position model. The record is from RNAcentral.